AUUGAGCGCUGGCGGCAGGCUUAACACAUGCAAGUCGAGCGGAUGAAGGGAGCUUGCUCCUGGAUUCAGCGGCGGACGGGUGAGUAAUGCCUAGGAAUCUGCUUGGUAGUGGGGGAUAACGUCCGGAAACGGGCGCUAAUACUGCAUACGUCCUGAGGGAGAAAGUGGGGGAUCUUCGGACCUCACGCUAUCAGAUGAGCCUAGGUCGGAUUAGCUAGUUGGUGGGGUAAAGGCCUACCAAGGCGACGAUCCGUAACUGGUCUGAGAGGAUGAUCAGUCACACUAGAAGUGAGACACGGUCCAGACUCCUACGGGAGGCAGCAGUGGGGAAUAUUGGGCAGUGGGCGAGAGCCUGAUCCAGCCAUGCCGCGUGUGUGAAGAAGGUCUUCGGAUUGUAAAGCACUUUAAGUUGGGAGGAAGGGCAGUAAGUUAAUACCUUGCUGUUUUGACGUUACCAACAGAAUAAGCACCGGCUAACUUCGUG
This 484-nucleotide ribosomal RNA is filed under the name uncultured bacterium. Its description in RNAcentral is "partial 16S ribosomal RNA". It matches the Rfam family "Bacterial small subunit ribosomal RNA", at positions 30 to 507 of the family's 1533-position model. The record is from RNAcentral.